RNAcentral lists this ribosomal RNA (428 nucleotides) under uncultured bacterium. RNAcentral's name for it is "bacterial SSU rRNA". It matches the Rfam family "Bacterial small subunit ribosomal RNA", at positions 36 to 453 of the family's 1533-position model. The record is from RNAcentral.
GACAUCCUGGCGGCAUGUUUAACACAUGCAAGCUCGAGCGGUAGCACAGGAGAGCUUGCUCUCUGGGUGACGAGCGGCGGACGGGUGAGUAAUGUCUGGGAAACUGCCUGAUGGAGGGGGAUAACUACUGGAAACGGUAGCUAAUACCGCAUGAUGUCGCAAGACCAAAGUGGGGGACCUUCGGGCCUCACGCCAUCGGAUGUGCCCAGAUGGGAUUAGCUAGUAGGUUAGGUAAUGGCUCACCUAGGCGACGAUCCCUAGCUGGUCUGAGAGGAUGACCAGCCACACUGGAACUGAGACGCGGUCCAGACUCCUACGGGAGGCAGCAGUGGGGAAUAUUGCACAAUGGGCGCAAGCCUGAUGCAGCCAUGCCGCGUGUGUGAAGAAGGCCUUAGGGUUGUAAAGCACUUUCAGCCGAGGAGGAAGGC